This is a non-coding RNA of Parelaphostrongylus tenuis, 79 nucleotides long. The record is from the annotation of a GenBank genome assembly. Lineage: Eukaryota; Metazoa; Nematoda; Chromadorea; Rhabditida; Metastrongylidae.
GCCUUUUGACAGUGGUGUAGUGGUAGAGCACGCGUCCCCGGAUAGGAUGAAAACGUGGGUUCGAUUCCCGCCUGAGGCC